UACCAGCACCCCGAGUGGUCGGGACGAUUAUUGGGCCUAAAGCAUCCGUAGCCGGUUCUACAAGUCUUCCGUUAAAUCCACCUGCUUAACAGAUGGGCUGCGGAGGAUACUAUAGAGCUAGGAGGCGGGAGAGGCAAGCGGUACUUAGUGGGUAGGGGUAAAAUCCGUUGAUCCAUUGAAGACCACCAGUGGCGAAGGCGGCUUGCCAGAACGCACUCGACGGUGAGGGAUGAAAGCUAGGGGAGCAAACGGG
Molecule: ribosomal RNA, 253 nt
Filed under: uncultured bacterium
Lineage: Bacteria
Description: partial 16S ribosomal RNA
Rfam family: Archaeal small subunit ribosomal RNA
Source: RNAcentral